This 1421-nucleotide ribosomal RNA is filed under the name Staphylococcus saprophyticus. RNAcentral's name for it is "bacterial SSU rRNA". It matches the Rfam family "Bacterial small subunit ribosomal RNA". Lineage: Bacteria; Bacillati; Bacillota; Bacilli; Caryophanales; Staphylococcaceae. The record is from RNAcentral.
UGCAGUCGAGCGAACAGAUAAGGAGCUUGCUCCUUUGACGUUAGCGGCGGACGGGUGAGUAACACGUGGGUAACCUACCUAUAAGACUGGGAUAACUUCGGGAAACCGGAGCUAAUACCGGAUAACAUUUGGAACCGCAUGGUUCUAAAGUGAAAGAUGGUUUUGCUAUCACUUAUAGAUGGACCCGCGCCGUAUUAGCUAGUUGGUAAGGUAACGGCUUACCAAGGCAACGAUACGUAGCCGACCUGAGAGGGUGAUCGGCCACACUGGAACUGAGACACGGUCCAGACUCCUACGGGAGGCAGCAGUAGGGAAUCUUCCGCAAUGGGCGAAAGCCUGACGGAGCAACGCCGCGUGAGUGAUGAAGGGUUUCGGCUCGUAAAACUCUGUUAUUAGGGAAGAACAAAUGUGUAAGUAACUGUGCACAUCUUGACGGUACCUAAUCAGAAAGCCACGGCUAACUACGUGCCAGCAGCCGCGGUAAUACGUAGGUGGCAAGCGUUAUCCGGAAAUUAUUGGGCGUAAAGCGCGCGUAGGCGGUUUCUUAAGUCUGAUGUGAAAGCCCACGGCUCAACCGUGGAGGGUCAUUGGAAACUGGGAAACUUGAGUGCAGAAGAGGAAAGUGGAAUUCCAUGUGUAGCGGUGAAAUGCGCAGAGAUAUGGAGGAACACCAGUGGCGAAGGCGACUUUCUGGUCUGUAACUGACGCUGAUGUGCGAAAGCGUGGGGAUCAAACAGGAUUAGAUACCCUGGUAGUCCACGCCGUAAACGAUGAGUGCUAAGUGUUAGGGGGUUUCCGCCCCUUAGUGCUGCAGCUAACGCAUUAAGCACUCCGCCUGGGGGAGUACGACCGCAAGGUUGAAACUCAAAGGAAUUGACGGGGACCCGCACAAGCGGUGGAGCAUGUGGUUUAAUUCGAAGCAACGCGAAGAACCUUACCAAAUCUUGACAUCCUUUGAAAACUCUAGAGAUAGAGCCUUCCCCUUCGGGGGACAAAGUGACAGGUGGUGCAUGGUUGUCGUCAGCUCGUGUCGUGAGAUGUUGGGUUAAGUCCCGCAACGAGCGCAACCCUUAAGCUUAGUUGCCAUCAUUAAGUUGGGCACUCUAGGUUGACUGCCGGUGACAAACCGGAGGAAGGUGGGGAUGACGUCAAAUCAUCAUGCCCCUUAUGAUUUGGGCUACACACGUGCUACAAUGGACAAUACAAAGGGCAGCUAAACCGCGAGGUCAUGCAAAUCCCAUAAAGUUGUUCUCAGUUCGGAUUGUAGUCUGCAACUCGACUACAUGAAGCUGGAAUCGCUAGUAAUCGUAGAUCAGCAUGCUACGGUGAAUACGUUCCCGGGUCUUGUACACACCGCCCGUCACACCACGAGAGUUUGUAACACCCGAAGCCGGUGGAGUAACCAUUUAUGGAGCUAGCCG